RNAcentral lists this unclassified non-coding RNA (351 nucleotides) under soil metagenome. Its description in RNAcentral is "partial contains 5.8S ribosomal RNA, internal transcribed spacer 2, and large subunit ribosomal RNA". The stretch from base 1 to 120 matches the Rfam family "5.8S ribosomal RNA", at positions 35 to 154 of the family's 154-position model. The record is from RNAcentral.
GAUGAAGAACGCAGCGAAAUGCGAUAAGUAAUGUGAAUUGCAGAAUUCAGUGAAUCAUCGAAUCUUUGAACGCACAUUGCGCCCGUCAGUAUUCUGGCGGGCAUGCCUGUUCGAGCGUCAUUACGCCCCUCAAGUCCCCUGUGGACUUGGUGUUGGGGAUCGGCCAGCGCCCUCGCGGGCGAGGCCGUCCCCUAAAUCUAGUGGCGGACCCGUCGUGGCCUCCCCUGCGAAGUAGUGAUAUUCCGCAUAGGAGAGCGACGAGCCCCUGCCGUUAAACCCCCAACUUUCUCAGGUUGACCUCAGAUCAGGUAGGAAUACCCGCUGAACUUAAGCAUAUCAAUAAGCGGAGGA